RNAcentral lists this ribosomal RNA (424 nucleotides) under uncultured prokaryote. RNAcentral describes it as "bacterial SSU rRNA". It matches the Rfam family "Bacterial small subunit ribosomal RNA", at positions 355 to 796 of the family's 1533-position model. The record is from RNAcentral.
UAGGGAAUCUUAGACAAUGGGGGAAACCCUGAUCUAGCCAUGCCGCGUGUGUGACGAAGGCCUUAGGGUCGUAAAGCACUUUCGCCAGGGAUGAUAAUGACAGUACCUGGUAAAGAAACCCCGGCUAACUCCGUGCCAGCAGCCGCGGUAAUACGGAGGGGGUUAGCGUUGUUCGGAAUUACUGGGCGUAAAGCGCACGUAGGCGGACUAUUAAGUCGGGGGUGAAAUCCCGGGGCUCAACCCCGGAACUGCCUUCGAUACUGGUAGUCUAGAGUUCGAGAGAGGUGAGUGGAAUUCCGAGUGUAGAGGUGAAAUUCGUAGAUAUUCGGAGGAACACCAGUGGCGAAGGCGGCUCACUGGCUCGAUACUGACGCUGAGGUGCGAAAGUGUGGGGAGCAAACAGGAUUAGAUACCCCCGUAGUCC